UACAGAGGUCUCAAGCGUUGUUCGGAUUCAUUGGGCGUAAAGGGUGUGUAGGUGGCGCCGUAAGUCGGGUGUGAAAUCUCGGGGCUUAACUCCGAAACUGCAUUCGAUACUGCGGUGCUUGAGAACUGGAGAGGAGACUGGAAUUCAUGGUGUAGCAGUGAAAUGCGUAGAGAUCAUGAGGAAGACCAGUGGCGAAGGCGGGUCUCUGGACAGUUCCUGACACUGAGACACGAAGGCCAGGGGAGCAAACGGG
Molecule: ribosomal RNA, 253 nt
Filed under: uncultured bacterium
Lineage: Bacteria
Description: partial 16S ribosomal RNA
Rfam family: Bacterial small subunit ribosomal RNA
Source: RNAcentral